This is a small nucleolar RNA of Carya illinoinensis, 139 nucleotides long. RefSeq annotates it as small nucleolar RNA Z247. The transcript has a single exon. Lineage: Eukaryota; Viridiplantae; Streptophyta; Magnoliopsida; Fagales; Juglandaceae. The record is from RefSeq and is a predicted model, not a curated record.
CCCCUUGCAUGUGAUGAGAUAAUCACCUAUCUCCUUGCUGGUCUCGGUCAUGACUAUAAUCCUCUUGUAACUACUAUCUCUGCUCGCAAAGAUCCCGUUACUCUCGAGGAGGUUUACUCUCUUCUUCUCACUACAGAGU